RNAcentral lists this ribosomal RNA (213 nucleotides) under uncultured bacterium. Its description in RNAcentral is "partial 16S ribosomal RNA". It matches the Rfam family "Bacterial small subunit ribosomal RNA", at positions 524 to 733 of the family's 1533-position model. The record is from RNAcentral.
UACGUAGGGUGCGGGCGUUAAUCGGAAUUACUGGGCGUAAAGCGUGCGCAGGCGGUUUUUUAAGACAGGCGUGAAAUCCCCGGGCGUCAACCUGGGAACGUGCGCUUGUGACUGGAAGACUAGAGUAUGGCAGAGGGGGUGGGAAGUUCCACGUGUAGCAGUGAAAUGCGUAGAGAUGUGGAGGAACACCGAUGGCGAAGGCAGCCCCUCGGG